Molecule: long non-coding RNA, 337 nt
Organism: Pseudoliparis swirei
Lineage: Eukaryota; Metazoa; Chordata; Actinopteri; Perciformes; Liparidae
Exons: 2
Source: RefSeq, a predicted model, not a curated record
AUGCACCGAGGAUCUGGCUGAUUACUGGAAAUUUGGAAGAUUGUUCUUUAUCUGCACUGUCACUUCUGUUAUUAAGGAGCAGUGGGCUGCAGUGAUGCGACCAGGAAGCAACUGGGGGUUCAGUGCCUUGCUCAAGGACACUUCGACUUGCAACUAAUGGGGAGAGCCGGGAUCGAACCGACAACCUUGGGGUUGCAGGACGGCCCCCUUACCCCACUGAGCUACAGCCGCCACAAUUAUGGACCUUUUGUGGUAUGUUUUGCUUUCACUUAUCAACUGAUAGUGAAUAAUUGGUUGAUUUUGAAAAUGUACAUUAAAUAAAAUGUUUUAAAAUCAA